Papaver somniferum (opium poppy) is the source of this 1534-nucleotide long non-coding RNA. RefSeq lists it as uncharacterized. The transcript is spliced from 3 exons. Lineage: Eukaryota; Viridiplantae; Streptophyta; Magnoliopsida; Ranunculales; Papaveraceae. The record is from RefSeq and is a predicted model, not a curated record.
CUCAACAUAGACUUGACAAAUUUUCCAUCUCCUUCUACACCUCAGAUCGAAACCAAUCGGAAGAGAAAAACCCAAGCAAACUCAAAUGAUCCUUUUCUGAAUCAAACUCCAAUCAAAGAAAACCCAAUCUCAUUCUUAUGAUUUCUCUAUAUACUCAUCAAUUUCAGGGAAUUUGAAGAGAUAUAAUAACGAUGAAGGUGAUUGAAAUUCGUUGGUUAUCGUUUCUGACUUGUGUGCAACGGCAUAUGAUGCACGUUCCUCUUGUGGAUGAUGAAUUGCAUCACUGUGGUACCAUGGAGAUCUAUCUACCAACCGCGGUUUCUCAUUUUACCAUCAUCGUUGUAAGAGUAGGAUUCGUAAUCUUUUUACAUUGCAGUAAUACUUUUUCUUAGACAAUGUUUAAAUACUCCUUUGUCUCUUCUUUCUUGCUGUAGUAUCGUCUCAUCUUUCCUGUGGUAAAAUUGUUCGUCUCAUCUUUUGUGCGUUCGCGGCAAUUUUAGGCAUAAGUAUAUCAAAUGACUAUCUUACUGUAAAACACAACAUUUCAGUUCUUUUUUGUGCGUUUGGUGAGAUUUUAGGUUCAAGCAUAUCAAAUGACUAUCAAGAUUUGUCUAACUUGAUAAAGUAUGCUAAAAGAACGCGCAGAGAUUUUAGGUUCGAGCAGAGAUGGUAUGGAUUCAGAUGACCCGAACGCGCCUUGCAAACUUGGUUCUCAUUUCAUCACACUUGAAAAGAUCAAUGGUGAGGAGGAGAAUCUCUAUAAAGAAAUCAAGGUAGUCGUAUUCACCUUUUCUGCUCAAAACUCCCACUUGUAUAGUAUGAUUUUAUUAUUAUCAGUUUAUAUGUGAUGACUGACUACUACACUUGUGUCCCCUAGCUAUGUAAACUUGUCUAUCCUACAUUGUUGUUGAGCAAAUGCAGUUGAAUCCUUUCUAGACUCACAAACUUCUUGAACUGAUCUCAUCUGAAACAAGGUUCACUAGGGUGUUGGCUGUUAUUCUGGGUGACUGUGUAAUCUAUAACAGAUCUGUUGAGAGUAGUAAGGAUACUUUAUGGUAGUUGAUGUCAUCAGCCAGAAGAUUGGUCUUUACUGCAUACUUCCUGAGAUUCGAGGAGAUACAGAACAAGGAACUGGUGAUUCCGUUAGGAGCAUGAAAUUUUGUUGCGCACGAACUAAAGUAAAGAACACUUCCUAAGAAACGGAAAUAUCGGGUUACGGAUGUAUGGUCAUGGAGUGGCAGUAGCAAUUCUGGCUAUCUACUUUACAUUCCUUCCUAUAUCAAUACCACCAUCCCUUGCUUUGGUUUCACAAUUGUUAAUCUUUUUGUUUAAGUUGUUGGCAGUUGUUCUUUUUGUUUUAGUUAUUGUUUGUCAAUUUUGUUUUGUUUGUUUAGUUAAAUUCUUUUGUCAGUGCUGACAGAUUUGCAACAUUCUAGUUAAAUUUCAGGAGUGUGACAAAUUCGGAUUCGUGUCUCAGAAACUGAUUAGUGACUCGAAAUCUUCCGAUUUUGUGGACUUACUUUUAUUUUCUCAA